CUGAUUCGACCAUUACGGGUCAUAUAGAUAUGAUAUUCUUUUGUCAAACGAUCAACUUGUUCUGGUGUCAUCCCGCUAUAGCAAAACAUUCCAAUCUGUUCAUAAUAAAUAACAAGAUUGGUAAAUCACAACAGUAAAUAAAUAAAAAUUAUACAGAAGGAGAUUUUCAUAAGUACUCAAACACACAGUAAGUUUUAAAUACAAUUUACCCUCUGUUUAGUAAGAAAGUUUUAUAAGGUAGUGAGAGAUUUUUCAAGAUUUGUAAACCUUGAAUUUGUGUUUGGGAGAUCCGGUGGUUUUUAAAGUGCAGUUUUUCCCAACCCAUCGAAUCACUUUAAAAAACCUAACUUUACUCAACCUUCUCGUAAACAGAGUGUUAAGGUCUGAAGUAUCGAAUCAGUUUCAACUAGGGUCAUAUCAUUUAAAAUACAAUUUAAGGCCCAAAGUAUGGAUUCAAAUUUUCAAUCCAGUUUCAGUUAAGUUCUUCUCAUUAAAAACCAUACAACUUAAGGCUUGAACAAUUUAAAACUGUCAAUUCUCCAGUCCUACUAAACCUUUUCCCCUAAGCUAUCUUAAGUGUUCAAAUGAAAUAUUCAUCAAGUAGAAUAAGUUUAAAACUUAAAAUUUUAUAGAUGAUAAUUAUUACCAUGUGAAUUAGCUAAUAAUCAGUUCCAAAUUGAAAUUUUAAAUUUUUUGUAUUAGGAAAAAUGGGCUUCAACUUUCAGUAGCUAUAUAAUGCUAGCAAAAAUUUCUUUUGGACACUUUUCUUAGACACUCUCUCUACAAUUAGCAUACACAAAUUUAAACAAGUUUCAAGUUUAUAAUUUCAAAUCUGAGAAAAAAUGGACCACUUAUUGGGAGAAUGUUUAAGGAAUGUUCAAAAGAAAGUGAUGCUAGCAUUUUCCCAAGUGUUUAAUUUGACAUGACUUGCACAGAAAAGUUAAAGUACUAUGUAAGAAUUUAGAGAAAAGUAUUAAUUUUAACACUGAAUAAUAAUAAUAAUAAUAAUA
Molecule: unclassified non-coding RNA, 1010 nt
Filed under: Hevea brasiliensis (rubber tree)
Lineage: Eukaryota; Viridiplantae; Streptophyta; Magnoliopsida; Malpighiales; Euphorbiaceae
Source: RNAcentral